CGCCCGUCGCUCCUACCGAUUGGGUGUGCUGGUGAAGUGUUCGGACUGGCGACCGGGGGCGGUCUCCGCUCUCGGCCGCCGAGAAGUUCAUUAAACCCUCCCACCUAGAGGAAGGAGAAGUCGUAACAAGGUUUCC
RNAcentral lists this ribosomal RNA (136 nucleotides) under uncultured Trebouxiophyceae. Its description in RNAcentral is "partial small subunit ribosomal RNA". It matches the Rfam family "Eukaryotic small subunit ribosomal RNA", at positions 1670 to 1804 of the family's 1831-position model. Lineage: Eukaryota; Viridiplantae; Chlorophyta; Trebouxiophyceae. The record is from RNAcentral.